This is a long non-coding RNA of Helianthus annuus (common sunflower), 1040 nucleotides long. RefSeq lists it as uncharacterized. NCBI's taxonomy places the organism in Eukaryota, Viridiplantae, Streptophyta, Magnoliopsida, Asterales, Asteraceae. The record is from RefSeq and is a predicted model, not a curated record. The transcript is spliced from 5 exons.
UUGUAUAUAAAGUUCAUUUUAUAAAGAUUCUUUUGAUUUCUAAUAACGUUUUCUUUGUUCUGAUUUCAGUAGAUCCGAUCAAACUUUAUCUUUUUCUUUCUUUGGAUUUCUAAUAAUCUUUGUUCUGAUUUGUAAUAACUUUUUCUUUGUUCUGAUUUCUGUAGAUCUGAUUUCGGACUCCGAUAAUUCGUCAAUCAAAAGAGGUUAGUUAAGUGUUAUAGUUAUUUUAUCCUUUUUAAGUAUGUAAUAUGUAAUUUUAUCCUUUAUGUUCAUUAUUUUUUUACCUAUUAAUAUAUGUUCUGAAUGAUUUAUGGUUUGUAUUUUCUCAUGGUGAACCCUCAAUCUUUUUUGAAAUUCGGACUCGGAUUGUUAGUCUACCAAAAUAAGUUAUGUUGUUCUGAAUUUUGUAGAUCCGAUCAUAAAAUUGAAGGUAUGUUGUUUUAGUUUGUUGUUUAUCUACCGUGCAUCUUUAAUCUAAGCGAUUGAACAUUUAUAUUUUUUUUGCAAAUAAUAUCAAGAUCAGAGGUUUUGUUAUCAUCAUCUACAUUCUCUGAUUUAUGUAGUGUCUAUGAACGUUAAUCAUGUCUUGGACAUUUAUCAAACUUACUGAUUUUUGUUUAUUUUGAUUUUCAUGUGAAUCCCUAAAUCUUGGAUAACAAUCGGACUCCGAUCAUUCAACAAGCAACAGAGUUCGUCGACCAAAACAGGAAAUACCGUAUGAUGAGCCAGCUUAUUGUGGGAAGGAAAAGUUCCAUAUGCUCAAUGUAUUGAACUUAUUGAUGAUGACUUAUGCAACUGCAGGAGUCUGAAUCUUCUUCGAACACAAGAGUUAUGGAUCCUAAAAACAACGCUCCAAUCGUUUUUAAAAUUGAUUGAUGACUAUCAUCCUAUAUUUUUGGAAAUACCGUAUAAUGAGCGACCUUAUUGUGGGAAAGAAAAGUUCCAUAUGGCCAAUGUCUUGAAAUUAUUGAUGAUGACUUAUGCAACUGCAGGAGUCUGAAUCUUCUUCGAACACAAGACGUAAGUUUAAUUUUAUCGUU